ACGUCGUCAUGGGAACGUUUCUGGGUGCAUUGAUUCUCAUUUUUCAAAGUGAAAUGCCAGCCAGAAUCGCCUGGGCGACCCAGGACAAGAUGGUUGGAUGUUGACCAGGAUACGGCAAAGGUUGGAGUGCAGGGAUGCAUUGAACAGAGAUGCUUGGAGAAGAUUGAGCGAGGCUGUGACCCGUACUGGGUUGUAAAACCAAAUAAGAAGAUUGAUAAUGCAAAUACCUGUAGCUUUGAGCGUGCUUCUCUCACAUAACUAUCACUGCGAAACCUGCGAAACAUCUUCUGUGGAAAUGAAUCUGAAAGCUGCACUGAAUUCGUCUAACAUCCUGAAUGUGUGAUUAUGGAUCUGGAAAAGCAUCAGAGGUUCACCGCUUAACAAGCUGGAUAAUAGAAGACGCCACAUAUUCCAAGAGAUGUGACUCUGCCUCCGAGGACACUGGAUCUGCGGGCUGCUCCUCGCCCCCCUCGACGUUGAUAUAUGCUAUCCCUGGGUUCAGAAGUGCAUCGAUCUGAGUGGAUGACAGAGGUUGCAGACUUUGUGGAUCGAAAACUAUUGACCCAAUACUUCCGGGUUCCCUUUCUCGUGGUGUAGUGACACCUACCAUUGUGGGAUUUGAUGUGCUGGGAGUCGACAAAGUGGGGUCUGGAUGACCACCGUACAUAUAAAAAACUUCAGAGUUUGCGGGAGUGUGGUUCAUGUUACUAAUGUGUGUUGAGUGCAAUUUUAAAAAAGUGAUAAAUACUAUGCAACGAGGGCUUUACGAGGGUCACAAGGAGGGAUGUACAGACAAUAGCUAUGUGCAGUGUGUUUCCUGCUACAAACUCUACCAGGUAUUAAUUACUUAAGCUCUUAUAAUAUAUUAAUAUUGUUCAUGUGUUGGAUUGUCGAUUUCUGACUAGCUUACAGACUGUAGCUUAUAUUAUACUCCAACUGGCUUAUAUUUAAAAUAUUAGUGACUAGACAAAUUUCAUCAGUUUAGGCCCAUAAAAAUAUCCAGAAUACAGUUUCAACAAUAAUAAUAAAAAUUUAUAAAAAAUAAUUUCUUCCUUGCUUAAAGCUAUUGAUUCCCAAAAAUAGUUUUUCAUACUUGCUUGCAUUCCCCAGUAAGUUCUUACUAUCUAUCAUCCAUUCACGACAAAUCUCAUUAACUCGUCUCUCAUUGACUUGUCUAUAAUUAUUAUCAGUGAUAUAUAGUCUUGAUUUACUCUCAAUAAUGAUUUUAUUAGCUCUGUUCUCAUCACCAGCCCCACAUUGGGCGCCAUGUUUAUGUAACAUUAUUUUUGUGAAUAACGGUUUGCCUGGCUUGGCUGCAGUCGGUAAAGCAUGAGUAAAAAAUUAUAUGACUCUGGUUGUGGUUCUUAGAAUAUAAACUAGACCAAAUUCUUAUGGACUCGCCCAGGAGCUCCUGCAAUUCUCUGCUCUGGGACAAUUCGGACAACAAAAAUUUCAAUUCUUAUAACUUGUAAUGUCAUUCAUAUUGUGGUGAUCCUGUCCCUCAUUGAAGCGUCAUGUGUGGCAGACCUAGCUCCAGGGAGGGCAUGGACCACACAAAAAAUAGAUAAUCUUAUGAAAGUGCUCACUUUUAUGGGUACAUGAAUAUAUGCCCCUCUGUGUAAUAUCAGACCUGAGAAUUUAUUUAAUUGGUUGAGAAAUCUGUAGUUUAUCCCAGAUGUAGGAUUGGAGUGUUCCAAUAAUAUUGAGCUUAAAUAAAGCGAUCUUAAAAUUAUUACCUUGUUGUUGUUCUGAUAAAGAGCCAAUGCAACCCGAACAAAGAUAUAGAUCACAAAUCCAUGUAUGAUUGUGCCUCUUACCGCUAUCAGAAUUGAUGAUGAAUACUUCAUGAAAUAAAUAUAAUUUCCGAAAAGAGGUUCGAGUACAGAAUCUAAUCCUAUCAGUGUUGGAUUACAUUGACUUAAAUCCUGCAAAAUGCCACAUACACUGUUUAAUUUAGUCUGGAAAUUAUAAGCUAAGCCGCCGAUGGUGACCAAUGUAAAAGCAAAUGUAAGCAGAAUUAUAUUUAUUAAUCCCGCAGUGAUCCACUGAUACAUUAGCAACCAUCCACAACCUUCCACUCAAUUAAUUUCCCGACUUGUUACACUGACCAUAUGAGGUCUAUCACAAUACCAAUGGUAACGUGUCAAAGACAAUAUCAAGGUUUUCAGAAAAGAAACAAACUGGAAGAUAUUCUCAGUUAUUUCAAUAUAUUGACAGUUUUCAAGAUAAGCAGAUAGUAAAUAAUAAUUCUUUAAGUUAAUGGUGAUGAUCAGUAUAACGUGUUCUGGUUUAACAAUACCAGACAUGUACAGAUUACAAUUUAAUAAUUAUUCAAGAAUUGAAAGAAGAUGUAUGUUAAAAUAAUAAUUACAGGGUUGUGAGUUCUGCUUUGGAAUAGCUUGAUUGAUAGACAGAUUAUUAUAAAUUAAUCUUAUUUAAUGAUGAUUAUUAUAAUGUGGAUUAACGUUGGAUUUCCCCUGAUUACAAUCUGGCCAUGACCAUUAAUUUUCAAUAGAAUUUAUAGCACUCAUGAAUCGUGGAUGGGGCCCCAAUAUAUUUACUAGAAGAACACUCAUGCAACUAUGUUUUUCUUUUUCCUUGGUUCGCAAAUAAUUAUUCUUCUGCCAUGUGCUGGAUUUUCUGGCCUUCAAGUAGAACGUGUUGCUGGUAUAUUACUCUGCGAUUCAUGUAGAUUUAAUUGGGUAUUUUACGUUAAUCUCUACAAACAAAAAGGAACUUUACAAUAUUAACAUUUAAAUUCACAAAUAAACAGUUAAAAAUAAUUCACAUGAAAUUUUUCAACAAGAAUGUAAGUUUACUCAAAACGUGUGACUAGGGCAAGGUCAGUGCUAGAACAGCCUGAAUCUUCUUCCUCCAAAUUCAAUUCACAAUUCUAGGAAUCUCUUUGUUUCUAAUUUGCAUAAGACAAUUGCUAUUGGUUGUAGCUGAGUGACGUAAUGCACACAUCAUAUUUUUAUAAAAUGGUUCCUUUGUUUACAUUCA
Molecule: long non-coding RNA, 3003 nt
Organism: Nilaparvata lugens (brown planthopper)
Lineage: Eukaryota; Metazoa; Arthropoda; Insecta; Hemiptera; Delphacidae
Exons: 3
Source: RefSeq, a predicted model, not a curated record